This 200-nucleotide ribosomal RNA is filed under the name uncultured bacterium. Its description in RNAcentral is "partial 16S ribosomal RNA". It matches the Rfam family "Bacterial small subunit ribosomal RNA", at positions 335 to 527 of the family's 1533-position model. The record is from RNAcentral.
AUUCCUACGGGAGGCAGCAGGGGGGAAUAUUGGACAAUGGGCGAAAGCCUGAUCCAGCCAUGCCGCGUGUGUGAAGAAGGUCUUCGGAUUGUAAAGCACUUUAAGUUGGGAGGAAGGGCAGUAAGUUAAUACCUUGCUGUUUUGACGUUACCGACAGAAUAAGCACCGGCUAACUCUGUGCCAGCAGCCGCGGUAAUAAU